AAUAAAUCAAUCUUUCAAUUUUUACCUAUAAUAUUUAACUCUUCGUUUUAUUUAAAAAAAUUAUGAUUAAUAUUUUUACUUUUAUUAGAUGAUAAAUCGUAAAUAGUACUUUACGUGUGACUAAUUAUUUUAUAAUUUCUUGAAUUUUUUUCAAAUAAAAUGGAUGGCCAAACGUUGAACAUGAAAAUCAAAG
Molecule: microRNA precursor, 193 nt
Filed under: Oryza brachyantha (malo sina)
Lineage: Eukaryota; Viridiplantae; Streptophyta; Magnoliopsida; Poales; Poaceae
Description: MIR812 microRNA precursor family
Rfam family: MIR812 microRNA precursor family
Source: Rfam by way of RNAcentral